CAAAGAGUGUUAACCUCCCAUGAAGGGCCUUUGCUUUCAUUAAGCAUUUGAACCAUCGUUAAGAAAUCAGAUAAAAUAUAUAUAUAUUCUUCCAGCCAUACGUCACCGCUAAUUGAAUUGUUGUUCAUAUGCCCAGCCUUUGCUUUCCAACAAACGGAAUUGGACUACCAUAGGCAAAAAGGACGUCACCAUUAGCCUUUAAGGCUACCAUUCCAAU
Molecule: long non-coding RNA, 217 nt
Filed under: Nicotiana benthamiana
Lineage: Eukaryota; Viridiplantae; Streptophyta; Magnoliopsida; Solanales; Solanaceae
Description: long non-coding RNA (NBEN_LNC017557)
Source: RNAcentral